Molecule: non-coding RNA, 28 nt
Filed under: Candida albicans
Lineage: Eukaryota; Fungi; Ascomycota; Pichiomycetes; Serinales; Debaryomycetaceae
Also listed under: 9 other names
Source: RNAcentral
UUUGACCUCAAAUCAGGUAGGACUACCC